UACGUAGGGUGCAAGCGUUGUCCGGAAUUAUUGGGCGUAAAGAGCUCGUAGGCGGUUUGUCGCGUCUGCUGUGAAAACUCGAGGCUCAACCUCGGGCUUGCAGUGGGUACGGGCAGACUAGAGUGCGGUAGGGGUGACUGGAAUUCCUGGUGUAGCGGUGGAAUGCGCAGAUAUCAGGAGGAACACCGAUGGCGAAGGCAGGUCACUGGGCCGCAACUGACGCUGAGGAGCGAAAGCAUGGGGAGCGAACAGG
RNAcentral lists this ribosomal RNA (253 nucleotides) under uncultured bacterium. Its description in RNAcentral is "partial 16S ribosomal RNA". It matches the Rfam family "Bacterial small subunit ribosomal RNA", at positions 524 to 776 of the family's 1533-position model. The record is from RNAcentral.